CUGGCACAAGAUGGCAGCGGCCAUCAGCUAGCUCAAAGUACUUGCUGUGGUUGGGAAAAGACAAGAGGUCCCCUCAGGAAGCAGCUGCUGGGAAGGUGCGCCAUAAAGAAGACAAGACACAAGGAGCCCGCUUUUGUCUGCAUCUCAAGGCAUGCCAUAGAGAAGCAAGGAGGAACAACUGCGAGACCACCAGGAGAGCAGGAGGACAAGGGAGGACUUGGCCAAGGUAGAGUUGGGAUUCAUUCAUUCCCAGGACUGCAACAAAGAGAGGUUUCUUCAGAAAACCUGCACCGGCGCUUGUGUUCAUCUCAGACACAUUCUGGAUUAAAGGCAGUUUUGAGAUAAGAUUUUGAUUCGUUCUUGUGUCUGAUUUUGUUUCUUG
RNAcentral lists this long non-coding RNA (382 nucleotides) under Numida meleagris (helmeted guineafowl). RNAcentral describes it as "lncRNA (ENSNMEG00000010409.1)". The record is from RNAcentral. Lineage: Eukaryota; Metazoa; Chordata; Aves; Galliformes; Numididae.